UUUAGGAAUGUGUCUCAAACGAACAUGAUGAAAAACACAUUGAAAAAGUGUAUUGUGGGCAUAUAUUUCAUAAUAUAUGCUUAGAUACAUACAUGAAGACACCACCAUUCCAUGGAGGUAAAAAAUGUCCUAGUUGUAAGCAACGAAUUUACCAUGACAAAUGGAAAAUAACUCCAAAGUUGGCCGAAGAUCGCUGGGCACAUCAGGAAGCAAAAAAGAGAGAACUUGGUGAAGUGGUUGAAUUCUUCGAGUGAAUUCAUAAAUUUUAUGUGGAAAAUUACUGCCUAUGUAAUUUUUUGUAAUCAUUUUGACAUUAUUCAUUGACUAUGCCAUUGGUUUGUUUAGAUAUUGUGGUAUGCCUUAUUUCUGUUGACUAAUUUAGGAUGUGUUGAAACUGCCCUCAUUUUGAAUUGAUCAUAAUUGAUCAUGCCAUUUUUUUUACAUUAAAGUGUUACAUUUA
Molecule: long non-coding RNA, 460 nt
Organism: Parasteatoda tepidariorum (common house spider)
Lineage: Eukaryota; Metazoa; Arthropoda; Arachnida; Araneae; Theridiidae
Source: RefSeq, a predicted model, not a curated record